Molecule: long non-coding RNA, 3670 nt
Organism: Cephus cinctus (wheat stem sawfly)
Lineage: Eukaryota; Metazoa; Arthropoda; Insecta; Hymenoptera; Cephidae
Exons: 9
Source: RefSeq, a predicted model, not a curated record
GAGCAUUGGUAUAUGUAUCACUAAUACCAAGUAACGUAAUGUAAAGAGUAACCGAUAAGGCAUCCUUCUGAAUAGUCGUGUCGAAGACACCGAGUUGGAAGGACGUAUUACGUAUUCCUGACGUUUGCAUAGCAAGAGAUAUAAAAGCUAGAAUCCCUUUUCGAGAAAACUAAUGAUAGAUAGCCGACGCUUCCCUCUUUUGUACAUACUCUUGUUGAUCCCGGGACUAUUCCUAUUCCUUGUUUGCUGGUAAAUAUGUUGUGGCUCCUCCAUGGUAAACUGUGGAGACUUUUACGUAAAUAGUAGUCAUGGGAGACGAGGAGCGGUGAACGGUAUAAUGGCGGAAACCAACGUCCUCGGAUACAGCUACUUCUUAUGAUACAUGCGCUACCUACAGAUACUUAUGGAUACAACUAGUUCUUGCAGCAGUAAUUCCUGGAUCGGAGUCUGUCCAUAGAAUUGAAAGAAAUUGUUAAAACAGAAUGGACAUAACUGUCGUACCUAACUACAAGAAUUAUUUAAUCCCAAGUUCUGUUGUAAACUGCAAACUGCAAACAAACGAUUGAACUUAGAUAUUAGAGAAAAUUAUUUUUCGACGACACACCAUAGUCAUGCAGAUCAUGUUAUGGGAUUAUUGGUCGAGAUAGAAAGUGGUGAAAUGGAGAAAGCCAUGUCUGCACUUCAUCUUGGCAGUCAUUCAGGACCCCUGUCAACUUUAAUGUGACUUAUGAAUAAAAAAGGAGAUGAAGACUCGCGAGGGAAUAUUUGGUGGACGCAAACUUGAUGAAGGCCGUUCUGAUGUCGAGAGGCCAACGACAUCUUCUGUUACCAUAUACCGAAACAAAGUAGUCCUUUGAGAUGAGAAAAAAAAAGUAAAAAUCCAUUACGACUAUAAAUGGUCGACCUCUUAUCCAGGGUAAUAAUAGCAUCCCUAAUAACAGUACCGAAGAACAUGAAAAGUGGAGUUGCAAUGAAAACCACAACUGAAACUACCAACACCGAUAGAAGUUAAAUGAAAAAUAUUAAUAGCAAGCAUAUAACCAAGCAAAAUACAAGAACAAUGCAAUUGCAAAUAAUGUAUAGCAACAAUUUUUCAUCUGCUAUUCAAAAUAUGUAUAGAUAUUGCAUAAACAACUAUAUGACACGUAACAACACAGUAGUACCAAGUAUAGUACUAUUAAUAUAAAAAUAUGUAUAAUCGCAAGUAUAUUGUUCACUCUUUUUAUUCUUCUUUCAUUUUUUUCUUCUUCUCUGGCGCAAACUAUUUUCUUUCUCCCCCACCUGAUGAGUUAGCCUUGCCUGGCAUGCGGUCUGUGCAGUGCUGGAACCCGUAUAGCAACCUAUAACACAGAAUCGCGUUAGCGUGCAUGCACGUAACGAUACCUAAGGGCUGUGCGUGCUUGACCGCAGCCUUUCUCGUCCGACUACUCCUCCUCGAGCACCUUGCCGAGAAUCUCCCGUCUGGAAGCUGGUUCCCAUGGCGUCUCUCUAUCUCCCGGCAUUAACUAUUUUUUCUCGGGCCAAACUGGUUGGCUGGAAAUAGCCACGCCGUGCCACGACACACCGGUGUACCAGGAAUAAGAAGAGGAGUGUUGCUCCUUGCCUACCCUCGCUGGGAUGACCGCAGUUGAUACUACACAGUUCUGUGUGCAUAGAAAUGUACGGCAUAAUUAUAUCGGUAAACCCCGAGGACGUUGGAGAGUACGAUAUACCCAGAAGAUGACGUCGCGCAACGCCGGCAAGUCAUGAAUGGCGCUGUUUAUUAUUGAAAGAACGUUUUGACGUCCUUCGCAACGAGUGGAACAUGGUGGAUGACGUAUUGUGUACCUGGUACGAAGAUCUCGGCUUUAUCCCAAGACUACACGAAAUGCAAAAGGUAAAAAAAAAGAAAUCCUGUCUCCGUCGCAUACGUGAUCAGACGCGAAAUGAUCAAUCGCAGGAUUCUCCAGCUAUCCUUUUAUUUUACUGAAAGAAGCCGUAACGACGAUGCUGCUGAUGCUGGUGGUUAAAAGCUGACGUCCUUGAAUACGAUUACCAUCCCCGGGAAGGAUUUUGUCGUCCUUGCAACAAGAAUCAGUCCAGAUUAACAACGUGGGGUCCAUGAGUGUUCAAGGUAGAGGGCCUAUGAAAUUUCAACAUAUUACACAUACCAGGACAGCGAUUAGAGCAGCACACGAAUAUUUGACAGUAUUGCGAUUAGUGUGUUGAUACUAAUAGAAGACCUGGAGUGAAUAAUGGCGAUUGCACAAUAGAAAACUUGAAAACAGUCGAGCCUACGUUCUAACUGAUACCGUUGGUACUGGAGGUAUUAAUAUAGAAAGAAGGCUAACGAGAGGUAAAAAGAAACUUACAAAUUAAAAGGAAACCGGGAAAAGUCGAGAAAAGUUUAAUUAAAUAAUCUUGGGAUCGUUCACAGCGAUGAAAUAAAACUUUUCUAGACGUUGAAGAUACAGUUAUAUCUAUCGGAGACGCGAGUGCAGUGUUAAUGGACCUAGCUGAUGAUUCGAUUUAUACGUAAAUAUGAUUCAAUUUAGUAUUUCUAGAUGGUGUUACUUGAGAUAUAUUUGUUAUUUAGUUUUAUUGCAGAGGAAAUAUUAUGCAAAGUAUGUUUAAAAUUGUAUGGCAGUACUUGUACUGUACCACGUGGUACGUUGUCUUGACUCCGUUAAGUUUGAUCACUGGUUUUUUGAAAUUAAAAAUUUAUAGUAAUUUUUUGUAUCUUGGUUCGUCAUGCUAGGGGAAAAAAUUCUUGAUUGGAUAUCACGGUCGUUUGCGAGCAACAGGGAAAUAGGAACAAAAUCUGCAUACUAACGUCGAUGUACCCAUCACGGAUCCCAUCGUGAAAACUGGACGAAAGGUCACUGAGAAAUAAGAGGACCUGCGUAGAAUGGUACAAUGACCCAACGUGUUAAAUAUAUUGUGUUCCAGCACGACUGGCACGUUUUAUCGCGGUGAUAAUAUACUUUUAUAUGCUUGGUCGGAAUGACACUUUCUUCAUUUCGUUGGUUUUUUUGCUAUUAAUAUAUGCAUCUUGGUAUAGGCGCUUGGAAAGUUUUCGGGAAUUCCCGAGACUCUGGCGCCAUGGAAGGUUAGCGGAUGCGACUGGAAAAUGAUAUCCAAAUGGAAAGGCUGGAGAGCAUAGGGCAAGUUUCCAACGCCAAUUGAGCAUGAUUAUGGCGUAUGACGCGACCUCGAUUCGAUAUUGCUGCAUACGAGUGGUGUCUCUAAUUUUCUAGAAGCGCAUAGAGGCACCUGCCGCCAUUUACGUUCUCCGACUGAUUGGAAAUACUGAAUUGGUAGUGACGUCAAGAAAAAAUGUUAUGGGUUCCACUAAAGUAUUAUUGACGUUUCAACCCCGCAAUUUCCGUUACGGAUGUUCAUCUAUAGAGCAAGAUCUAGUCUAAUAUUACCUGCGUCGUAUUUCUUGAUGGUGAUGAUAUUUCUGGGACAUAGUUUUUAUAUCUUUAUCAGGAACGGAAGAAUAUCCUACAAAUUACAACAUUACCAUCGGAACGUUAAAAUGUAUUGCAUUAGCCAUUUACGAUAAUUACACUGACAAGAAUUCUCAGAAUUAAUGACAAGUUACAAAAACUGUCGAAGACAGGAAAUUCUCAUCGUUAUUAGUAACUCGUAAACGAUUGAGCAAAAAUUAUACAGGAAAAAAAAAGGA